AGGCAGGUAUAUUGGCAGGUGUAUAGACAGGUGUACAGGCAGGUGUACAGGCAGGUAUAUUGGCAGGUGUACAGGCAGGUGUACAGGCAGGUGUACAGGCAGGUGUACAGGCAGGUAUAUUGGCAGGUAUAUUGGCAGGUGUACAGGCAGGUAUAGGCAGGUGUACAGGCAGCAGGACAGGUAGGUAUAUUGGCAGGUGUACAGGCAUUUGUACAGGCAGGUGUACAGGCAGGUAUAUUGGCAGGUAUAUUGGCAGGUGUAUAGACAGGUGUACAGGCAGGUGUACAGGCAGCAGGACAGGCAGGUGUAUUGGCAGGUGUACAGGCAGGUGUACAGGCAGGUGUAUAGGCAGGUGUACAGGCAGGUGUACAGGCAGGAGAACAGCCUCAACAACCUGUUAAAUAGACACAUUAAAAGUGCUACAGGACCUCCAUUGAAACGGUCUCAUCAUUACUCAGAGAAGUGACCCAGAUAUUCAGAAGUGACCAUGUAUUCAUGUUUUAUACACACAUAACUGACCACAAAUGUAUUACAAAUCUGGAGAGGAAGUGUGCUGCCUGCCGAUCACAUCCCGUUGUCCUCUGGUCCCAGAUCUAAGAGACAUCAUUCGUCCUCUGGUCCCAGAUCUAAGAGACAUCACGUCCCGUUGUCCUCUGGUCCCAGACCUAAGAGACAUCACGUCCC
This is a long non-coding RNA of Oncorhynchus tshawytscha (Chinook salmon), 684 nucleotides long. NCBI's taxonomy places the organism in Eukaryota, Metazoa, Chordata, Actinopteri, Salmoniformes, Salmonidae. The record is from Ensembl.